CCUACGGGAGGCAGCAGUGGGGAAUUUUGCGCAAUGCUCGGAAGAGUGACGCAGCGACGCCGCGUGAAUGACGAAGUCCUUCGGGUCGUAACGUUCUUUCGACAGGGAAGAAAAUGCCAAUAAGUAAUGGUGUAUGUAUUGACGGUACCUGAAUACGUAGCAGCGGCUAAAUUCGUGCCAGCAGCCGCGGUGAUAUGGGGGGUGCGAGCGGUGUACGGAGUGUUUGGGGGGAAAGGGCAAGUUGGAGGUGUUAGAAGUCAUUAGUCAAAGAAUAGGGGUCAAACUUAGUAAGGCUAGUGAUACUAUAAUGCUAGAGUAUCACAGAGGAUAGCAGAACUCCUGGUGUAGCGGUGAAAUGCGUAGAUAUAAGGAAGAAUACCAGUAGCGAAGGCGGCAAUCUGGCUGGAAACUGACACUGAGGUACGAAAGCGUGGGUAGCAAACAGGAUUAGAUACCCGUGUAGUC
This 465-nucleotide ribosomal RNA is filed under the name uncultured bacterium. RNAcentral describes it as "partial 16S ribosomal RNA". It matches the Rfam family "Bacterial small subunit ribosomal RNA", at positions 338 to 795 of the family's 1533-position model. The record is from RNAcentral.